RNAcentral lists this ribosomal RNA (1431 nucleotides) under uncultured bacterium. RNAcentral's name for it is "bacterial SSU rRNA". It matches the Rfam family "Bacterial small subunit ribosomal RNA". The record is from RNAcentral.
AGAGUUUGAUCCUGGCUCAGGACGAACGCUGGCGGCGUGCCUAAUACAUGCAAGUCGAGCGAGCUUGCCUAGAUGAUUUUAGUGCUUGCACUAAAUGAAACUAGAUACAAGCGAGCGGCGGACGGGUGAGUAACACGUGGGUAACCUGCCCAAGAGACUGGGAUAACACCUGGAAACAGAUGCUAAUACCGGAUAACAACACUAGACGCAUGUCUAGAGUUUGAAAGAUGGUUCUGCUAUCACUCUUGGAUGGACCUGCGGUGCAUUAGCUAGUUGGUAAGGUAACGGCUUACCAAGGCAAUGAUGCAUAGCCGAGUUGAGAGACUGAUCGGCCACAUUGGGACUGAGACACGGCCCAAACUCCUACGGGAGGCAGCAGUAGGGAAUCUUCCACAAUGGACGAAAGUCUGAUGGAGCAACGCCGCGUGAGUGAAGAAGGGUUUCGGCUCGUAAAGCUCUGUUGGUAGUGAAGAAAGAUAGAGGUAGUAACUGGCCUUUAUUUGACGGUAAUUACUUAGAAAGUCACGGCUAACUACGUGCCAGCAGCCGCGGUAAUACGUAGGUGGCAAGCGUUGUCCGGAUUUAUUGGGCGUAAAGCGAGUGCAGGCGGUUCAAUAAGUCUGAUGUGAAAGCCUUCGGCUCAACCGGAGAAUUGCAUCAGAAACUGUUGAACUUGAGUGCAGAAGAGGAGAGUGGAACUCCAUGUGUAGCGGUGGAAUGCGUAGAUAUAUGGAAGAACACCAGUGGCGAAGGCGGCUCUCUGGUCUGCAACUGACGCUGAGGCUCGAAAGCAUGGGUAGCGAACAGGAUUAGAUACCCUGGUAGUCCACGCUGUAAACGAUGAAUGCUAGGUGUUGGGGAGCAAAGCUUCUCGGUGCCGCCGCAAACGCAAUAAGCAUUCCACCUGGGGAGUACGUUCGCAAGAAUGAAACUCAAAGGAAUUGACGGGGACCCGCAAAAGCGGUGGAGCAUGUGGUUUAAUUCGAAGCAACGCGAAGAACCUUACCAAGUCUUGACAUCCCGGUGACGCAUGUAGAAAUAUAUGUUUUCUUCGGAACACUGGAGACAGGUGGUGCAUGGUUGUCGUCAGCUCGUGUCGUGAGAUGUUGGGUUAAGUCCCGCAACGAGCGCAACCCUUAUUCUUAGUAGCCAGCAGGUAAAGCUGGGCACUCUAGGGAGACUGCCAGGGAUAACCUGGAGGAAGGUGGGGAUGACGUCAAAUCAUCAUGCCCCUUAUGAUUUGGGCUACACACGUGCUACAAUGGCGUAAACAAAGGGAGGCGAAGGAGCGAUCUGGAGCGAACCCCAAAAAUAACGUCUCAGUUCGGAUUGCAGGCUGCAACCCGCCUGCAUGAAGCCGGAAUCGCUAGUAAUCGCAGAUCAGAAUGCUGCGGUGAAUACGUUCCCGGGUCUUGUACACACCGCCCGUCA